RNAcentral lists this ribosomal RNA (449 nucleotides) under uncultured bacterium. Its description in RNAcentral is "bacterial SSU rRNA". It matches the Rfam family "Bacterial small subunit ribosomal RNA", at positions 331 to 794 of the family's 1533-position model. The record is from RNAcentral.
CCAGACUCCUACGGGAGGCAGCAGUGGGGAAUAUUGCGCAAUGGGCGAAAGCCUGACCCAGCGACGCCGCGUGAGGGAAGAAGGUCUUCGGAUUGUAAACCUCUUUCAGCAGGGAAGAAGAAAGUGACGGUACCUGCAGAAGAAGUCACGGCUAAAUACGUGCCAGCAGCCGCGGUAAUACGUAUGGUGCAAGCGUUAUCCGGAAUGACUGGGUGUAAAGGGAGCGUAGACGGUUGUACAAGUCUGAUGUGAAAGCCCACGGCUCAACUGUGGGAGUGCAUUGGAAACUGUAGAACUAGAGUAUCGGAGAGGCAAGUGGAAUUCCUAGUGUAGCGGUGAAAUGCGUAGAUAUUAGGAGGAACACCAGUGGCGAAGGCGGCUUGCUGGACGAAAACUGACGUUGAGGCUCGAAAGCGUGGGGAGCAAACAGGAUUAGAUACCCCAGUACU